UGGGGAAUAUUGCACAAUGGGGGAAACCCUGAUGCAGCGACGCCGCGUGAGCGAAGAAGGCCUUCGGGUCGUAAAGCUCUUUUAUGAGGGAAGAUAAUGACGGUACCUCAAGAAAAAGCCCCGGCUAACUACGUGCCAGCAGCCGCGGUAAUACGUAGGGGGCUAGCGUUGUCCGGAAUCACUGGGCGUAAAGGGUUCGCAGGCGGAAUAACAAGUCAGAUGAGAAAGGCAUGGGCUCAACCCAUGUAAGCAUUUGAAACUGUAAUUCUUGAGAAGUGGAGAGGUAAGUGGAAUUCCUAGUGUAGCGGUGAAAUGCGUAGAUAUUAGGAGGAAUACCUGUGGCGAAGGCGACUUACUGGACACAAAUCUGACGCUGAGGAACGAAAGCGUGGGUAGCAAACAGG
RNAcentral lists this ribosomal RNA (404 nucleotides) under Verrucomicrobiota bacterium. RNAcentral describes it as "Verrucomicrobia bacterium partial 16S ribosomal RNA". It matches the Rfam family "Bacterial small subunit ribosomal RNA", at positions 355 to 776 of the family's 1533-position model. The record is from RNAcentral. Lineage: Bacteria; Pseudomonadati; Verrucomicrobiota.